This 429-nucleotide ribosomal RNA is filed under the name Bacteroidota bacterium. Its description in RNAcentral is "Bacteroidetes bacterium partial 16S ribosomal RNA". It matches the Rfam family "Bacterial small subunit ribosomal RNA", at positions 355 to 776 of the family's 1533-position model. Lineage: Bacteria; Pseudomonadati; Bacteroidota. The record is from RNAcentral.
UAGGGAAUCUUCCGCAAUGGACGCAAGUCUGACGGAGCAACGCCGCGAGAGUGAAGAAGGAUUUCGGUUCGUAAAACUCUGUUGUUAGAGAAGAACAGCGCAUAGAGUAACUGUUAUGCGUGUGACGGUAUCUAACCAGAAAGCCACGUCUAACUACGUGCCAGCAGCCGCGGUAAUACGUAGGUGGCAAGCGUCGUCCGGAUUUAUUGGGCGUAAAGCGAGCGCAGGCGGUCAAUUGAGUCUGAUGUGAAAGCCCCCGGCUCAACCGGUGAGUUUCAUUGGUAUCUGGUUGACUUGAGUGCAGAGUACGUGAGUUGAAUUCCUUGUGUAGCGGUGAAAUGCGUAGAUAUUUAGAGGAUCACCGGUGGCGAAAGCGGCUCUCUGGUCUGUAUCUGACGCUGUGGCACGAAAGCGUGGGGAGCGAACAGG